GAUGAACGCUGGCGGCGUGCCUAAUACAUGCAAGUCGAACGCAUUGUGGUUGAAAUGAUAUGAAGAACUUGUUCAGAUUUGAUUUUCAACAUUGCAAUGAGUGGCGAACGGGUGAGUAACACGUGGGAAACCUACCUCUUAGCAGGGGAUAACAUUUGGAAACAAAUGCUAAUACCGUAUAAUAAUUAAAACCGCAUGGUUUUAGUUUAAAAGAUGGUCUUGCUAUCACUAAGAGAUGGUCCCGCGGUGUAUUAGUUAGUUGGUGAGGUAAUGGCUCACCAAGACAAUGAUACAUAGCCGAGUUGAGAGACUGACCGGCCACAAUGGGACUGAGACACGGCCCAUACUCCUACGGGAGGCAGCAGUAGGAA
This 371-nucleotide ribosomal RNA is filed under the name uncultured bacterium. RNAcentral's name for it is "bacterial SSU rRNA". It matches the Rfam family "Bacterial small subunit ribosomal RNA", at positions 28 to 360 of the family's 1533-position model. The record is from RNAcentral.